UGCCACUACGUUGUAAGAGCUUCCACCUCCAGGAAACCUAUGCCCCCCUGCUGUUACAUGUACCUUUCCUGGUGUCUUCUGAGUAUAUCAUGACUUCCACCUGUGCACAUCCUACCUAGGCCCACUGUUACAUGUACCUUACCUGGUGUCUUCUGAGUACAAACUUGAAUGUACACUGUAUGCAUGCAGUGACCAAGCUGCCUACUAGUCUAUAGGUUUCAUGAAAUCAAUAUGUCAGAUUCAAGUUCGGAGUCAGACAGCAUCAUAAUGCCUAGGAAGUCGAGAGCCAAAAGGAGGAGGUCACCAGAACAGGAAGAAGAGG
Haliotis rubra (blacklip abalone) is the source of this 322-nucleotide long non-coding RNA. RefSeq lists it as uncharacterized. The transcript is spliced from 5 exons. The record is from RefSeq and is a predicted model, not a curated record. Lineage: Eukaryota; Metazoa; Mollusca; Gastropoda; Lepetellida; Haliotidae.